This 6450-nucleotide long non-coding RNA is filed under the name Sus scrofa (pig). Its description in RNAcentral is "lncRNA (ENSSSCG00035059208.1)". Lineage: Eukaryota; Metazoa; Chordata; Mammalia; Artiodactyla; Suidae. The record is from RNAcentral.
AGCGCAGAGAUAUAGAUGCACAGAAGUAAAAAAUAUUGUAUUGUUCUUGGAUUGAAAUGUUUGCAGGGUAGCGGUGGGUAUUGACAUGUAGAGCCAAACAGAGCUCUUCACCUGAAAGAAAAUGCUACUUGGAAGAGAGUCAGAGUCUUAAUGAGUUUGUGGAACAGAUGUAGAGGAACCGUGAAGUUGAGAGAGCUGAAAAGAUAGGGGUGCUGGUGAGAGAAUAUCACAGGGUAAAUAGGUAAAGAGUUCACAGAGUUUGGGUGGCCAUGACUGUGACUGGCUAAAGCAGAGUGGAGAUGAAGAUCAUUAUAAUGAGUGAGCAACGGCAUUGGAUGGUCAUUUAAAAGGACAUUAAAGUCACCCAGGAUCUUGGAUUGGGAUUUAAAGCUUUUUUUUUUUUUUGUCUUUUUGCCACUCCCGCAGCAUAUGGAGGCUCCCAGGCUAGGGGUCUACUUGGAGCUGUAGCCGCCGGUCUACACCAGAGCCACAGCAACAUGGGAUCCGAGGCAUGUCUGCCACCUAUACCACAGCUCAUGUUUCCUAGUCAGAUUCAUUAACCACUGAGCCACAACGGGAAUUCCAGUAUUAAAGCUUUAAAUUAUGUGCCAGAGUCUUUGUAAGGAGGUCACUGGGAUUGCAGCCAUUUAUAGGGAGAAACGGGUUUUUGUUUGUUUGUUUUGUUUUGUUUUGUUUUGUUUGGCCACCCUGCAGCAUUAUCGAUUUCCUAGGCCAGAGAUCAGAUCCGAGCAACAGUUGGGACCUACACCACAGAUGUGGCAACACCAGAUCCUUCACCUACUUACUGCACCAGGCUAGGGGUCAAACAUGUAUCCCAGCACUGCGGAGACACCACCGAUCCUGUUGUGCCACAGCAGGAACUCCAGAAAUAGUAUCUUUUUAAAGUGACAGUGAAGAAAGCUAGCUAGUUGUGCGCUGAGAUAGUAUGGUUUUUGAAAAAUGAAGAUCCUGCACUGUAGUAAACAUUAGUGGACAUAGGAAAGAGCCCAGAUGCAGCUAAGGUGGAAAUCCGGGGGAAGGCAGAUCUCUCCUAAGAGGAAAAUGAACAAGAGGGUUUUGGGUUGAUGGCUUGGUUUAAGAUUGUUACUUUCCUUUGGUUUUAACCAUUCACACAAGCAUAUUUGAAGAAUACAUGUUUUAGAAGACAGUUAAGGAAUGAGAUUUUAAGGAAAUGUCUUCAGUUCCAGAAAGACAUAGGUGUUCUUAAUCACCUGUGGUUUCUUUUGCAUGAAUAAAAUUGCCAAGAGUUCAUCUUCCGAAGAAGAAAAAGUUCAAGUGUAAGACCUGAGAUGAAUUGUAAGGUUAUCAAAAAGGCUUAUACGUUGGGACCUGUAUGCUUGCUGAGGGAGUAGCCAUUGACCUUGAAAGCAACCAGUUGUAUUGACUUUGUUAUGUUGGCACCAGGAAAGCACAGAACAGACUCUCUUGAAUAACAGGAGCCUUGCUGGACAUUUCGGUAUCCUGGAAGGGAGUUGGGGCCAUUUCUUUGGCAGAAAUUGAAAUCGUUUUCUUAACAAACAAUCCCAUCGAAGAUUGGAAAACUCUAAUACAGAACUUAAGAACAAGUGUACACAUAAUACAUAAAUAUUAUCAUAGUUAUGUUACUAAAGAACUACUGUAACUGUGGUUGUUGAUUGUUUCCACUUGCUUAGGAACUGAAGUUACAUCUCUUCAGAUAGGAGCGGUGAUCUAUGUGAUAAAGUCCUUGUGUGGCAGAAAUGUGAGGUUAGGAAUGCUUAUACCAUUUGCUUUCUCCAAGUGUGCUUUACUCUUUUAUGCUACCCUUCACUUCUGGCUUAAACAUUGUCCAGGAAAUUCACCAACACUGAACAAAGAACCAGCUCCCUUACUUGAGUUUUAUCCUUCCUCCUCUAAAAUUGACAUUCCUUGAGGCAAUGUCCUGAAAUGACUUGUCCUACUCUGGCUAAAUGGUAGUGAUCUGUGUUUAACCCCAGCAGUUUAUCAAGCAGGUUCAUUUUAUAUCAUGUCAGUGUGUAGAGAGUGACGGGAAUACAAAAGGAUAAGGAAGUUAUUUUUUCAAUGUUUAUUUUUAUUUCAUGUGAAGCAUGAUUUUGUGUACUGACAAGUAAAUGAUAUAGGUGUAGGGGAAAGAGGAACAACCACCAUAUUAUUUUGCCAGAAUUCUCAUGUUAUAGUAUCCAAAAAAUGCCGAGAAAGAUGACAUUGCAUGUUAUAAUGUUCCCUCGCAAAUAAUGGCAAAGCUUUAAUCAACUGAUAAACCAGAUGCACUCAGGAUUGAAACGCAGCUUUCAAGGUUGAAAUGCAGCAAGUGGUUCAUUGAACACUGCACAGAAGGUAAAUGAAGUGUAUAUUUUCCAAUCACAAUUGGAAUUUUAAGUGAGUGGAAUGGAAUAAACUCAGUUUGGAAUUUGAAAUAAAUUCAGCUUGGAAUGUGUCUUAGAGACCAAGGUUUAUACAAGAGCUAUACAAACCUCUCAGCAUGAAACAUGACACAAGGUGAAAUUUUCCUGGCAUCUUAGAGGAGCCAGAUAUGGAUUUAUGCAGGACCAAGGCACAGACAAUUGGUCGAGAGCUAUUUGUUUCUAUUUGGGGACAGAAACCUAGAGGCUUAUUUAAUACCCUGGGGUGGGAGUAAUAUUCCACCUCGUAGAUAGAGCUGUGUACUCUUUCUCAGAAGGUGGUAUUUUUAGUUUGAUGUUAUACCAAUAAAAUGUUUCCAUCCUAUUUUCAUUUUUCUUUCUUUUGAUGUCAGCGUCAGUAGUUCAAAAUAGCUUCAUCUAUCACACACAGUAAAAUUGAUUAGCAAAAAGGAGAAGUGGUUGGAGAAAACACAAAAUUCAACUUCUGGUAAUUCAGGAGUAGCCACUAGCAGCAAUUUACCUGCCUCGUUGCCAAAGCAGUUUUCUCAAAUUAUGAAUUCUUAUGAGUGUAUAAGUUUGAGGGGAAUCAUAAAAGAGACUAGACUUUGUAUGCCAAGCCAAAGAAGCAGUUGGUAACUAACAAUACAUCUUUUUGCUAAGGUAAGUUUAAGUCGCAAGAAGACUUAAUCUACAGAGGAGAACACCCUGCGUAUUUCUUAGGAGCUUAGAAAUGCUGAGUUAGGGCUUCAGGGAAAUGCAAGGUGCUAGACUUCAAAAAAAAAAGAGAUCAUCUGUAGACUUAGCACACUGGAAAAAUGGAGAAAAUAAAACGGGUGCAGGGCUGUGGAUUAAAUAUUCGUAGUUAGAGUUUGAGCAUUUCAGAAGUGAAAUGACGAAGUAGGUGAGCCCCAGGAACACAGGAUAAUCAAGUUUGGUGGAUUGCUUGUUUUGAGUUUAUAGUUAUUUGUAGGGAUGGAGUCAGUCCCUUGGACUACAUAUUAUAUUUUUCCGCUAAGCAGUAUUUCCAUUAAACAGUAGCUUGUGAUUGUUUGGCCUGCCUUUGCAUUCAGGUAAAAAUCAAGCUAAUACCCUGUAAUUUAGCAAAUAUUUGUUUUCCUGGCAGUGGCGGACCUGCCAGUGUUACUGUUUCAGGGGCAGAUCUGCAGUGUUUACGGUUUCCACCACUUGGAGCUUUCUAUGUAUUCAUCCCUGGAUUAGACUCAAAGUAAGCUGAUUUCAUCAAGCCACUGGGUAAUUCUGACCAUUUCAUCAGGCGAUUUUAGAACUGUAUUAUUGCAGCUGACCUGUAGACAUAAGGAAUUACUGGGUCACCCACUCACGGAAAUGUCUUUUGAUUAUGAACACACUUGCAGCAUGUGUCCAUUGAAGGUAAGGGGGAAAAUACAACAUGGUCUACUUUAAUGCCGGUUUUAGUUAAAUAUAAAAGUGGGAUUUCAGGCAUAGCUCAAUUGUAUCUUCUGAAAAUUAAGUAGUUAAGCAAUUCUGUGUAGAAACAAGAUGUCUUUGAGGAACUGAACAUUCGGAUGAAGCAACCGUGUCCUUCAAACCACAUCCUUCCUGCUGCCUGUGGGAAAGAGGUGGUAUUUGUGUUGGGCUCUGAGCACACGCAGAAUAGAUCUGUGUGUAUUUCCAUAAAUAAAAGGACAUUGUGUGUGUGUUUGGCACCUGUGAUGGCAAGAGCAGUUGAUUGCUUCCGAAAGCUUUGUUCCAACUCCAGGAUCAGCAGGAUUUUUAAACACUGAACUAGGAACUGGACACUAAAAAUACAUACACAGGCGACCUCUGAUAGCAUUAGGUUUUGGAAGCAGGGUGAAGGCUUGCAAAUUGUGUUACAGCUGUGUCAUUACUCUAAUUAUUAUGGUUCAGGGGAAGGGAUUUGACAUGCUGUAUAUCCGACCUGCAGAUUCAUGAGCCAAGUUGUAGUAGCCGUUUGAGUUACUGCUUGUUGUUUCAAUGAAGAUGAUCCAGAAUCUAUAGAAUAAGAGUGUAUAUUUUGCUAAAACUGAAAACCUGGCCCCCGCUUUUUUUUGCUUAUGUUGUUUGUGUUGUGUUUCAUAAAGCCAUCAGCAGUUAAUGAUCUUGUGAUUUACUCAGACAGAAGAGCACCCACCAAAAAAAAAGGUUGAAAACAGAAUUGAAAGUUAUGUUACAACAUAAACUUGGCUUGUGAAAAAGAAACAGUAAUUUUCUAAUGCCACCCAGUUUUCUCAGGGUGAAAAUCAGGACCUUUCCAUGUUGCAAAUAGAUACCAAGUGAACAAAGAUCUUAGUGUGACAUUUUAAAUGCUCCUGAUAUUUUUAAAUGCUUACUCCCAAGCCUUAAAGGGUUUUGUCCGUAGAGAGAUGGGAAAUUUGAGUGGUUUUUUUUUUUCUUUUUUAGAUUUUCUAUUAUGUGAUUCUCUAGAAGUUUUAUGAUAAAGUUCAUCAACAGGCAUGAUUUAAAGAAAAAACAGUUAUAAAAUUCAUGUUGGAAAUCGUGAAUAUUGUGUUAGAUCCUUACAUCAAAGUGGUCAUAGCCUUGAUAGAAAGAAAAUACAGACAACCACUAUCCCCUUAGGUUUAUUUGAAUGCACUUUUUUCUAUGUGAAUAAAAUUUUCUUCUUGAAAUAUCUGUAGCAGGGAGUGAUUUUUGUUGAGAGGCAGUGUGCAUUUUUAAACUUUAUUCCUAUUUUAUUUAUACUCCACUGAAAUAGAUUUAAGAAACAAAAUAUAUUUAAGCAAGGAUCUCCAUUACUUAUGAGAAUUAUGUAUUGUCAAAUUUUAAGUCAUCAUUUUAUUCAAGCAAUCCAAUUAAGGGAGUCUCUUUUGAAGAAGUGGGAAACGUGUCAAGCUCAAACUCUGUGCGGUGUAAAGGUGUCUAUUUCUCAGAAAACCCAGUGUGUUUCAGUUCUUAGAGCAGACACUAUAAAAGAGUCCGUGUCUAAUCCUGUGAGUGAAAUUCUCUUAAAAGAGAAUGCUGAAUACAGAAGAAGGAAGUAGUGAUAGGUAAGAAAAUGUCCUUCUCCAUUCACUUUACAGUACGGCCACUGUUCCCCCCAGCUCAGAUAGCUCUACUUGGAGCACAAUCCCAGGGAUUUCAGGAUCAAGUGGGAAGAAACACAUCUCAGUGACAGGCAUGGCAUUAAACCUGCAGAAUGGCAUUUUAUUGAGUACUUAUUUGUGUUUUCAGGGCUUCUAAAACACAAUAAUGUGUAACCUAUGAGUGAUAUAAAUGCAUUUCAUUAACAGGCAGUACAGAGUUUCAAACGGAAGUAAGUUAAAAAAAAAAGAAAGUAAAUUAAAAUGGAAGUUUAUAUUUUAACGAAGGACAGAAAAUUAUCCUCAGAACAGGUUAAAAAGAAUGAAAAAAAUCUUUUACAUAAUUGCUAGUUCAAAUAAAGAACGUUUCAUUGAAAUGACCCCUACUUUUUUUUGCUUAUGUUGUUUAUGUUGUGUUCAUCAUGGGAUAAUUCAGAUAAUUCAUCAAUGCAAAUUCAUCAUGGGAUAAUCAAUAUAUAUCCUCUCUCUACAGCAUGGAAAAUAAAGAAGUGUUAUAUAAUUUGGUAGGAGAUUAUUAUAUGCACUCAUUUGUAUUACAUGCAUCUAUGAAACAACUGGAGAAAAAUACAAACAAGACCAAAAAAUAUAAUAUUGCAGCAUGAAAAAGUAAACAUUGCAAAAGGUGAGGAAGGGGAAAGGAGCUGAUGUGGGUAAUUUUCAAGACAAUGUAGUUUUAGGACCUUGACAGUGGGUAAAAUUUGUGCCCUCAACAAAAAGUAGCGAAAGGCAUUCCAGACCAUGAAAUCCCAGAAGAAAAUGAAAAAUAAUUAUUUUCCCAGUCCACAUUCAGCUUUUGGUUCAAGGGAUAAGCAUUUAGGAACAAUGCAACUUAUUUGAUCUUCUCCUGCAUAAAUCAUUCAGUUUCUUUAAUGUUCCAGCCAAAGCGUGUGAAGCAAUUUAAUCGCUUGAUUUUGCCAGGCGAUGUAUAAAGACGUAGUCACCUGGAAAAUGCUCAAAGCAUUGACUGAAACCAGUUUUCUUCCACUCUUGCGAAAUGUUCCUUUGUUGCAAUCAGGUUGACUUGAUAG